Molecule: unclassified non-coding RNA, 370 nt
Filed under: uncultured Pleosporales
Lineage: Eukaryota; Fungi; Ascomycota; Dothideomycetes; Pleosporales
Description: sequence contains ITS2
Rfam family: 5.8S ribosomal RNA (bases 1-154)
Source: RNAcentral
AACUUUUAACAACGGAUCACUUGGUUCUGGCAUCGAUGAAGAACGCAGCGAAAUGCGAUUAGUAGUGUGAAUUGCAGAAUUCAGUGAAUCAUCGAAUCUUUGAACGCACAUUGCGCCCCUUGGUAUUCCAUGGGGCAUGCCUGUUCGAGCGUCAUUUGUACCCUUAAGCUCUGCUUAGUGUUGGGUGUUUGUCCCGCCUCGCGCGUGGACUCGCCUUAAAGCCAUUGGCAGCCGGCAUAUUGUUUCGGAGCGCAGCACAUUUUGCGCUUCUAACAUGAAUGUUGGUAUCCAGUAAGCCUUUACAUUUGCUCUUGACCUCGGAUCAGGUAGGGAUACCCGCUGAACUUAAGCAUAUCAAUAAGCGGAGGCU